RNAcentral lists this long non-coding RNA (1000 nucleotides) under Mytilus galloprovincialis (Mediterranean mussel). The record is from RNAcentral. Lineage: Eukaryota; Metazoa; Mollusca; Bivalvia; Mytilida; Mytilidae.
AGAAAUAGUACUAAAUAUUAAAAGUAAAUUUCCAGUACUACAUAAUUUUAGUACAGAAAUAGUACCUAUGCAAAAGUAGCUGUGUAUAUGAGUAUAAAAUGAGGCAUAUAUAGCUGAGUUGUUUAUUUGUUAGUUUUGUAGUGUCAUCUUUUUCUUUUUCCUGUUGCAUAUAAAUGAUCAUGUAAAUUAGGAUAUGCACAACUCAGAUAAAAAAAACUUUAUUUUAUGUGAAACUUUUUUGAUUUCAUCUUUAGGUUAUAACUUUUUUUUUUCAAAUACCAACAAAAUGGCAUUUUGAGAGUUUAAAAAAAUUGCGGUAUAAGGGGAGGUAACUCAAAAUAUUUAAGCAGCAAAAAAAGAAGUAUGUUUUAUUUUUAUUUUCUGAAAGCAUAUGAAUAAUGAUGUCCCACUUCCACUUGAAUUAAUAGAACCCCCCCUCCCCCCACUGCCAUUGUGUGUUAUUGAGAAACAUACAAAUUAUUAUUGAUGCCAAUAUAAUGGUAUGAUUUCAGCAUUAUAUAUUUUUCAAAACUCUAUUCAAUUAUCUCCCUUUAAAAAUAAAUCUGUUUUGCAGGUUACAUAUCAGGAUGAUCUUACCCAGAUGAUAGCAUAUGUACUUCUGAUAGGAUAAUACCACUUUUUUCAAAUUUUUUUUUGACACCUAGUUUGUAGAAAAAUGUUUGUAUGGCAAUGUCUGUGUUAAUGUGAUAUUAAUUCAGUAUUAAUAUAUACUUAUCUAAUUCUGUAUGAAAUCGUUUUUUGUUAAAUAUUUGUGAUAACUUUUCACAGUACAUGUACUUGAAGUUAAUCUAGGUUGCAUUGCUCAUAGAAACACAUAGAAGCAUAAUGAAACAUUUUGAAUACCAGUGAGGUUGUAUACUGUUGUAUAGUUAAAUACCGUUGUAUAGUAUUUUAGUUUCAAUUUUGUCCUUGUUAUGUUUGUAAGCAGAUGCUUAUUAAUAAUUUGUUAAUUUGUUCUUGUAAUUGAUGUCAAUGUAGA